GACGAACGCUGGCGGCGUGCUUAACACAUGCAAGUCGAACGGAAAGGCCCUGCUUUUGUUGGGUGCUCGAGUGGCGAACGGGUGAGUAACACGUGAGUAACCUGCCCUUGACUUUGGGAUAACUUCAGGAAACUGGAGCUAAUACCGGAUAGGAGCUCCGGCUGCAUGGUGGGGGUUGGAAAGGUUGGGCGGUUGGGGAUGGACUCGCGGGUUAUCAGCUUGUUGGUGGGGUGGUGUCUUACCCAUGCUUUGAGGGGUAGCCGGCCUGAGAGGGGGACCGGCCACAUGGGGACGGAGAUACGGCGCAGAGUCGUACGGGAGGCAGAGGUGGGGAAUAGUGCACAAGGGGGGCACGCCUGAGGCAGCGACGCGGCGUGCGGGAGGAGGGGCUGCGGGUUGUGAACAGCUUUCAGCAGGGGCGAAGCUUGGGGUGACGGGACCUGCAGAAGAAGCACCGGCUAACUACGUG
This 469-nucleotide ribosomal RNA is filed under the name uncultured bacterium. RNAcentral describes it as "partial 16S ribosomal RNA". It matches the Rfam family "Bacterial small subunit ribosomal RNA", at positions 28 to 507 of the family's 1533-position model. The record is from RNAcentral.